CAGAAUUCAGGGCUAUAUUCAUAUUUUACCAUAAUACCUUAGUCUCCUUCUUGAUAACGCUUGUUAACAAGACAAGUGUUGUUACCACUUGUUAGUGGCAAUAUAUUCCAUAGGAGGGUCACUCCAGUUAGUUACCAAAAAUCAACAGCAAAAAAAGAACAAGAAAAAAAAAAGUAGCUAAGUGAUUCUAUUAGAUUCACAGCAGACUGAAUUUGAAGCAAGGAAUCCAUUGUUUCCUCUUUAAGCCUGGCUAUUUUUUAAAAAAUUUGGGGAAAAAAGAGUUUAUUUACAAGGAUUGGGAAGACCUGAAGUUAAAGACAGUUCCAUUAAUGGAAUGUUAGAACAGCUCAUCGAGAAACUCUGGCUGUUAAUUUGUAAGUUAUUACUAACAGUGCUUCUAGUUAAAUUAAGGCUCUGGAGCAUGACUUCCAUUUUUUUUUUUUCCUAUUUUAGCCAUUGACUUCACUGAGUGAUUUAACUUUUCUCUGUCUUAGAACAUACAGUUCCAAGGUGCCUAUAACAGGAGGAAAGCCUUGGGGUUAAAGUCUUUCCAAAUACCGUUUUCUAAGUGAGUAGGAUAUUCACCUACAGGAUGUGAUGUCCAUGUUUAUAUCCAUUCUCUGCAUGAUUCAGGAAACCCAGUUUGCAAGAGGAAAGGAUUUUCGAGAAAGCUCCAAAACAGGAGGUCUCAAUGUGGACACGAGAACAUUGAAAAUGUCUUCUUCUUGGGCUAUGAACAAAAAGUGUGACAGAUGGUAUGUGUUUCUUGUUUGUUAUGUUACAGUCUAUUCCAGAGGCAUGGCAGAGCAUUAG
RNAcentral lists this long non-coding RNA (813 nucleotides) under Struthio camelus australis. RNAcentral describes it as "lncRNA (ENSSCUG00000007379.1)". The record is from RNAcentral. Lineage: Eukaryota; Metazoa; Chordata; Aves; Struthioniformes; Struthionidae.